AUCCCCGACGGCAUUGUGCGUACCCCAGUUUGAGAAUACCUGCUCUAUGCUACUUACCACACCUUGGUGGUUUGAUUUGAUGUAUAAUUUUGUGAUAUCAUCUUGCAGUCUGACUCUCUAUGUAGUGUUGAGAAGGGCUUCUACGAUGGUGUCUUCCUGGAGGAAGACGAUGAUGUCAUCCUUCGUCAAACAUGUCCAUACAAAGACCAAUCAUUUCUGCCCUCUCUAUAGAUUAUGCUGAUGCCCCACCGUAAGAACCUGGAGCUCUUUACUGGUUCUGUGGGAGGUGACGUGGCCACAAAUCAGUGCCUGGGACACCUUACAGCGCUACCACUGUCUGAACAACAGCCAAAGGGUGGUCAAGACAUCUACUGCAACUUCAUCUUUAGUGUGUCAGCUCUGCUGCACCUGGGAGAUAAAGAUGGCUCUGGCUUGCUGAUGACAUCUGAUCUGAUCUGACUCCUUGCAAUUUGACUCCUGUAUUACUGACUAUAUUAAAUAAAACUUCCAAUGCCAAAUUGAAAUAUUUUUCUG
Long non-coding RNA from Oncorhynchus kisutch (coho salmon), 534 nucleotides. RefSeq lists it as uncharacterized. NCBI's taxonomy places the organism in Eukaryota, Metazoa, Chordata, Actinopteri, Salmoniformes, Salmonidae. The record is from RefSeq and is a predicted model, not a curated record. The transcript has 3 exons.